UACAGAGGGGGCAAGCGUUGUUCGGAAUUACUGGGCGUAAAGGGCGCGUAGGCGGCCUGUUAAGUCGGACGUGAAAUCCCUCGGCUCAACCGGGGAACUGCGUCUGAUACUGGCGGGCUUGAAUUCGGGAGAGGGAUGUGGAAUUCCAGGUGUAGCGGUGAAAUGCGUAGAUAUCUGGAGGAACACCGGUGGCGAAGGCGGCAUCCUGGACCGACAUUGACGCUGAGGCGCGAAAGCCAGGGGAGCAAACAGG
RNAcentral lists this ribosomal RNA (253 nucleotides) under uncultured bacterium. RNAcentral's name for it is "partial 16S ribosomal RNA". It matches the Rfam family "Bacterial small subunit ribosomal RNA", at positions 524 to 776 of the family's 1533-position model. The record is from RNAcentral.